ACGUACACUCCUGCGGGAGGCAGCAGUGGGGAAUAUUGGACAAUGGGCGCAAGCCUGAUCCAGCCAUGCCGCGUGAGUGAUGAAGGCCCUAGGGUUGUAAAGCUCUUUCACCGGUGAAGAUAAUGACGGUAACCGGAGAAGAAGCCCCGGCUAACUUCGUGCCAGCAGCCGCGGUAAUACGAAGGGGGCUAGCGUUGUUCGGAUUUACUGGGCGUAAAGCGCACGUAGGCGGACUAUUAAGUCAGGGGUGAAAUCCCGGGGCUCAACCCCGGAACUGCCUUUGAUACUGGUAGUCUUGAGUUCGAGAGAGGUGAGUGGAAUUCCGAGUGUAGAGGUGAAAUUCGUAGAUAUUCGGAGGAACACCAGUGGCGAAGGCGGCUCACUGGCUCGAUACUGACGCUGAGGUGCGAAAGCGUGGGGGGCAAACAGGAUUAGAAACCCCUGUAGUCCCAU
This 453-nucleotide ribosomal RNA is filed under the name uncultured organism. RNAcentral describes it as "partial 16S ribosomal RNA". It matches the Rfam family "Bacterial small subunit ribosomal RNA", at positions 329 to 798 of the family's 1533-position model. The record is from RNAcentral.